GCACGGAGUUAGCCGGGACUUCUUCUGCGGGUACCGUCAUUAUCUUCCCCGCUGAAAGGGGUUUACAACCCUAAGGCCUUCUUCACCCACGCGGCAUGGCUGGAUCAGGCUUGCGCCCAUUGUCCAAUAUUCCCCACUGCUGCCUCCCGUAGGAGUCUGGGCCGUGUCUCAGUCCCAGUGUGGCUGGUCAUCCUCUCAGACCAGCUACGGAUCGUCGCCUUGGUGAGCCAUUACCCCACCAACUAGCUAAUCCGACGCGGGCCGAUCUUUCGGCGAUGAAUCUUUCCCCCGAAGGGCGUAUCCGGUAUUAGCCCAAGUUUCCCUGGGUUAUUCCGAACCGAAAGGCACGUUCCCACGCGUUACUCACCCGUCUGCCACUGUCCACCACCCGAAGGUGGCUUCUCGUUCGACUUGCAUGUGUUAGGCCUGCCGCCAGCGUUCGUU
RNAcentral lists this ribosomal RNA (444 nucleotides) under uncultured bacterium. Its description in RNAcentral is "partial 16S rRNA". The record is from RNAcentral.